Molecule: ribosomal RNA, 396 nt
Filed under: uncultured eukaryote
Lineage: Eukaryota
Description: partial 18S ribosomal RNA
Rfam family: Eukaryotic small subunit ribosomal RNA
Source: RNAcentral
CCAAUAGCGUAUAUUAAAGUUGUUGCAGUUAAAAAGCUCGUAGUUGGAUUUCUGAAUUGAAUAUCCGGUCCGCUCGUCUCUGAUGAGUGCGUACUUAUGGAUAUUGGAUUCAUUUUUUGUGAGGACAUUUAUCUGUCAUUAAGUUGAUGGAUUUAUAGACUUGCAUCGUUUACUGUGAAAAAAUUAGAGUGUUUAAAGCAGGCGUUCGCCCAUUUGAAUACAUUAGCAUGGAAUAAUAAGAUAUGACUUUGGUGGUCUAUUUUGUUGGUUUGCACACCAGAGUAAUGAUUAAUAGGGACAGUUGGGGGUAUUCAUAUUUCAACGUCAGAGGUGAAAUUCUUAGAUCGUUGAAAGAUGACCUUAGGCGAAAGCAUUUACCAUGGAUGUUUUCAUUAA